UAGAGUUUGAUCCUGGCUCAGGAUGAACGCUAGCUACAGGCUUAACACAUGCAAGUCGAGGGGAAACGGCAUUGAGUGCUUGCACUCUUUGGACGUCGACCGGCGCACGGGUGAGUAACGCGUAUCCAACCUUCCCAUUACUGUGGGAUAACCUGCCGAAAGGCAGACUAAUACCGCAUAGUCUUCGAUGACGGCAUCAGAUUUGAAGUAAAGAUUUAUCGGUAAUGGAUGGGGAUGCGUCUGAUUAGCUUGUUGGCGGGGUAACGGCCCACCAAGGCGACGAUCAGUAGGGGUUCUGAGAGGAAGGUCCCCCACAUUGGAACUGAGACACGGUCCAAACUCCUACGGGAGGCAGCAGUGAGGAAUAUUGGUCAAUGGACGGAAGUCUGAACCAGCCAAGUAGCGUGCAGGAAGACGGCCCUAUGGGUUGUAAACUGCUUUUGUAUGGGGAUAAAGUUAGGGACGUGUCCCUAUUUGCAGGUACCAUACGAAUAAGGACCGGCUAAUUCCGUGCCAGCAGCCGCGGUAAUACGGAAGGUCCAGGCGUUAUCCGGAUUUAUUGGGUUUAAAGGGAGCGUAGGCUGGAGAUUAAGUGUGUUGUGAAAUGUAGACGCUCAACGUCUGAAUUGCAGCGCAUACUGGUUUCCUUGAGUACGCACAACGUUGGCGGAAUUCGUCGUGUAGCGGUGAAAUGCUUAGAUAUGACGAAGAACUCCGAUUGCGAAGGCAGCUGACGGGAGCGCAACUGACGCUUAAGCUCGAAGGUGCGGGUAUCAAACAGGAUUAGAUACCCUGGUAGUCCGCACAGUAAACG
This 814-nucleotide ribosomal RNA is filed under the name uncultured bacterium. RNAcentral's name for it is "bacterial SSU rRNA". It matches the Rfam family "Bacterial small subunit ribosomal RNA", at positions 1 to 808 of the family's 1533-position model. The record is from RNAcentral.